Balaenoptera acutorostrata (minke whale) is the source of this 72-nucleotide non-coding RNA. NCBI's taxonomy places the organism in Eukaryota, Metazoa, Chordata, Mammalia, Artiodactyla, Balaenopteridae. The record is from the annotation of a RefSeq genome assembly.
UCCCUGGUGGCCUAGUGGUUAGGACUCGGCACUGUCAUUGCUGUGGCCCAGGUUUGAUCCCUGGUCAGGGAA